RNAcentral lists this transfer RNA (64 nucleotides) under Sylvicola fenestralis. RNAcentral describes it as "tRNA-Ala". It matches the Rfam family "tRNA". From Rfam's summary of the family: Transfer RNA (tRNA) molecules are approximately 80 nucleotides in length. Their secondary structure includes four short double-helical elements and three loops (D, anti-codon, and T loops). Further hydrogen bonds mediate the characteristic L-shaped molecular structure. tRNAs have two regions of fundamental functional importance: the anti-codon, which is responsible for specific mRNA codon recognition, and the 3' end, to which the tRNAs corresponding amino acid is attached (by aminoacyl-tRNA synthetases). tRNAs cope with the degeneracy of the genetic code in two manners: having more than one tRNA (with a specific anti-codon) for a particular amino acid; and 'wobble' base-pairing, i.e. permitting non-standard base-pairing at the 3rd anti-codon position. The record is from RNAcentral. Lineage: Eukaryota; Metazoa; Arthropoda; Insecta; Diptera; Anisopodidae.
AGGAUAAUAGUUAAAUAUAACAUUUGAUUUGCAUUCAAAAAGUACUGAUACACAGUUUAUCUUA